AGCAUAUGAAAGCAUCAGGGAAAUGAACAGAAUGAAGUGACCUAAGUCACAAAAUUGAAUAUUUGGAAAUGAGCGACUGGAGAAGUAUUGUUUGAAACCGAAAGGUUAAAGUGUAUUGGAAUCCAUAAGAGAAAUGAGAUUUGUACCAUAAAGUGAAAUAACUCUAACUGAUACGUAGACUAGCAGGCCGCCACUAUAGGGUGUUUA
RNAcentral lists this long non-coding RNA (207 nucleotides) under Lathyrus oleraceus (garden pea). RNAcentral describes it as "Pisum sativum (pea) long non-coding RNA (PSAT_LNC018877)". Lineage: Eukaryota; Viridiplantae; Streptophyta; Magnoliopsida; Fabales; Fabaceae. The record is from RNAcentral.